AUACUCGGGUAAUCGCUGCACAGCUUGACUGUGCAGAGGAAAGUCCAUGCUCGCACAGACUGAGAUGUCUGUAGUGUUCGUGCCUGACGAAACCAUAAGUCAGGGGAGUUCUUUAGAACUUACGGCAGGGAAAAUUCCUACGUCUAAUGAUAGGGAAUGACUACCUUGAAAGUGCCACAGUGACGGAGCCGGUAUAGAAAUAUACCGGGUGGAACGAGGUAAACCCCGCGAGCGAGCAACCCAAAUUUAGGUAGGGGCACUUUUUAAAGGGAAAUGAACCUGAGAAAAGGCCGUUUUACGGCAGAUAGAUGAUUGCCACCGGAGUACGAGGCUGACCACCGCUGGCAGUACGAUGGAACAGAACAUGGCUUACAGAG
This 377-nucleotide RNase P RNA is filed under the name Halobacillus litoralis. Its description in RNAcentral is "RNase P RNA component class B". It matches the Rfam family "Bacterial RNase P class B". Rfam says of the family: Ribonuclease P (RNase P) is a ubiquitous endoribonuclease, found in archaea, bacteria and eukarya as well as chloroplasts and mitochondria. Its best characterised activity is the generation of mature 5'-ends of tRNAs by cleaving the 5'-leader elements of precursor-tRNAs. The record is from RNAcentral. Lineage: Bacteria; Bacillati; Bacillota; Bacilli; Caryophanales; Bacillaceae.